Molecule: unclassified non-coding RNA, 230 nt
Filed under: plant metagenome
Description: partial contains small subunit ribosomal RNA, internal transcribed spacer 1, and 5.8S ribosomal RNA
Source: RNAcentral
UCUCCGUAGGUGAACCUGCGGAGGGAUCAUUACCGAGCUCAUGCCCUUAUGGGUAGAUCUCCCACCCUGUGUUAUUAUUACCUUUGUUGCUUUGGCGGGCCGCCAGGCUCCGGUCAGGCUAUCGGCUUCGGCUGGUAAGCGCCCGCCAGAGGACCCUAUAUCCUGAUUAUUAGUGUCGUCUGAGUACUAUAUAAUAGUUAAAACUUUCAACAACGGAUCUCUUGGUUCUG